CCUACGGGUGGCAGCAGUGGGGAAUAUUGGACAAUGGGCGCAAGCCUGAUCCAGCCAUACCGCGUGGGUGAAGAAGGCCUUCGGGUUGUAAAGCCCUUUUGUUGGGAAAGCGGUACCCAAAGAAUAAGCACCGGCUAACUUCGUGCCAGCAGCCGCGGUAAUACGAAGGGUGCAAGCGUUACUCGGAAUUACUGGGCGUAAAGCGUGCGUAGGUGGUUGUUUAAGUCUGUUGUGGAAGCCCUGGGCUCAACCUGGGAAUUGCAGUGGAUACUGGGAGACUAGAGUGUGGUAGAGGGUAGUGGAAUUCCCGGUGUAGCAGUGAAAUGCGUAGAGAUCGGGAGGAACAUCCAUGGCGAAGGCAGCUACCUGGACCAAACUGACACUGAGGCACGAAAGCGUGGGGAGCAAACAGGAUUAGAUACCCUUGUAGUC
This 432-nucleotide ribosomal RNA is filed under the name uncultured bacterium. Its description in RNAcentral is "partial 16S ribosomal RNA". It matches the Rfam family "Bacterial small subunit ribosomal RNA", at positions 338 to 795 of the family's 1533-position model. The record is from RNAcentral.